UAGCAUAUCAAUAAGCGGAGGAAAAGAAACCAACAGGGAUUGCCCUAGUAACGGCGAGUGAAGCGGCAACAGCUCAAAUUUGAAAUCUGGCCCUCGGGUCCGAGUUGUAAUUUGUAGAGGAUGCUUUUGGUGAGGUGCCUUCCGAGUUCCCUGGAACGGGACGCCAUAGAGGGUGAGAGCCCCGUCUGGUUGGACACCGAGCCUCUGUAAAGCUCCUUCGACGAGUCGAGUAGUUUGGGAAUGCUGCUCUAAAUGGGAGGUAUAUGUCUUCUAAAGCUAAAUACCGGCCAGAGACCGAUAGCGCACAAGUAGAGUGAUCGAAAGAUGAAAAGCACUUUGAAAAGAGAGUUAAAAAGUACGUGAAAUUGUUGAAAGGGAAGCGCUUAUGACCAGACUUGGGCUUGGUUGAUCAUCCUGGGUUCUCCCUGGUGCACUCUUCCAGUUCAGGCCAGCAUCAGUUCGCUGCGGGGGAUAAAAGUUUUGGGAAUGUGGCUCCUCCGGGAGUGUUAUAGCCCAUUUCAUAAUACCCUGCUCCGGACUGAGGUUCGCGCAUCUGCAAGGAUGCUGGCGUAAUGGUCAUCAGCGACCCGUCUUGAAACACGGACCAAGGAGUCGUCUUCGUAUGCGAGUGUUCGGGUGUUAAACCCCUACGCGUAAUGAAAGUGAACGCAGGUGAGAGCUUCGGCGCAUCAUCGACCGAUCCUGAUGUUCUCGGAUGGAUUUGAGUAAGAGCAUACGGGGCCGGACCCGAAAGAAGGUGAACUAUGCCUGUAUAGGGUGAAGCCAGAGGAAACUCUGGUGGAGGCUCGCAGCGGUUCUGACGUGCAAAUCGAUCGUCAAAUAUGGGCAUGGGGGGCGAAAGACUAAUCGAACCUUCUAGUAGCUGGUUUCCGCG
This 895-nucleotide ribosomal RNA is filed under the name Calonectria cylindrospora. RNAcentral's name for it is "LSU rRNA". It matches the Rfam family "Eukaryotic large subunit ribosomal RNA", at positions 36 to 962 of the family's 3401-position model. The record is from RNAcentral. Lineage: Eukaryota; Fungi; Ascomycota; Sordariomycetes; Hypocreales; Nectriaceae.